ACGUUCGAUCCUGGCUCAGAUGAACGCUGUCGCAUGCUUUAACACCUGCAAGUCGAACGGAAGUGGUGUUUCCAGUGGCGAACGGGUGAGUAACUGCGUAAGAAACCUUCCCUUGGGAGGGGAACAACAACUGGAAAGCGGUUGCUAAUACCCCGUGAAGGCUGAGGAGACAAAAGGAGAAAUCCGCCCAAUAGGGUUCGCGUCUGAUUGCUAGUUGGUGAGGCAUAGCUUACCAAGGCGAAUGAUCAGUAGCUGGUCCGAGAGAUGAUCAGCCACACUGGGACUGAUACCGGCCCAGACUCCUACUGUGAGGCAGUCAGUGGGAAUUUUCGCAUGGCGAAAGCUGACGGAGCAUGCCGCGUGGAGGUGGAAGGCCUACUGGUCGUCACUUCUUUCUCGGGAAGAAACAAUGCGUAAUCUGAGGACUAAGCAUCGGCUAACCUCUGUGCCAGCAGCGCGGGUAAGAACAGAGGAUUCAAGCGUUAAUAUCCGGAAUGGAUGGGCGUAACCGUCUGUGUAUGGGCUUUUCAAGUCCGCCGUCAAAUCCAGGGCUCAACCCUGGACAGGCGGUGGAAACUACCAAGCUGGAGUAAACUGUAGGGGCAAUGGAAUUGCCGGUGGAGUCGGUGAAAAUGCAUUGAGAUCGUAAAGAACACCAACGGCGAAAGCACUCUUCUUGGGCCGACACUGACCCUGAGAGAUCGAAAGCUAUGGGGAGGCAAAUGGUUAAGACCCCAGUAGUCCUAGCCUUAAACGUGGAAUAACUAGGUGCUGUGCGCCUCGACCCGUUGCAGUGCUGUAGCUAACGCUUAAGUAUCCCGCCUGGGGAGUCUUCGCAAGAAUGAACUCAGGAAAUGAACGGGUGGCCCUCACAGCGGUGGAGUCAUGUGGUUUAAGUUCGAUGCAAAGCGCAGAACCUUACCAUGGCUUUGACAUGCCGCGAAUCACUUGAAAGAGAGGGGUGCCCCUCUGGGAACGCGGACACAGGUGGUGCAUGGCUGUCGUCAGCGUCGGCCCGUAAGGGUUGGUUAAAGUCUCCGCAACGAGCGCAACCCCUCUGUUUUAUAGUUGCCACUAUUAGUUUGGAAACCAGGACCAGAACCCGCCGGUGUUAAGCCGGAGGAAGGGAGGAUGAGGCCAAGUCAUCAUGCCCUCUAUCCCUGGGCGAGACACACUGCUACAAUGUGCGGGACAGGGUCGCGAUCUCGCGAGGGUGAUGCUAACUCAAAACCCGUCCUCAGUUCGAUUGCAGCUGCAACUAGCCUGCAUAAUCAGGAAUCCGCUAGUAAUCGCCGGUCAUCCAUACGUCGGUGAAUCCGUUCCCGGGCCUUGUAACACAACACCUCCCGUCAACACUAUAGGAGCCUGGCCAGGUUUGAAGUCAUUAUCCCUUAACCGUAAGGGAGGGGAUGCCUAAGCUAGUCUUGCGACUGGAGUGAAGGUCGUAACAUGGUACCGGAACUGGAAAUGCGGCUG
This 1476-nucleotide ribosomal RNA is filed under the name Saccharum spontaneum (wild sugarcane). RNAcentral's name for it is "bacterial SSU rRNA". It matches the Rfam family "Bacterial small subunit ribosomal RNA". Lineage: Eukaryota; Viridiplantae; Streptophyta; Magnoliopsida; Poales; Poaceae. The record is from RNAcentral.